Molecule: ribosomal RNA, 468 nt
Filed under: uncultured bacterium
Lineage: Bacteria
Description: partial 16S ribosomal RNA
Rfam family: Bacterial small subunit ribosomal RNA
Source: RNAcentral
GACGAACGCUGGCGGCGUGCUUAACACAUGCAAGUCGAACGGAAAGGCUCUGCUUUUGUGGGGUGCUCGAGUGGCGAACGGGUGAGUAACACGUGAGUAACCUGCCCUUGACUUUGGGAUAACUUCAGGAAACUGGGGCUAAUACCGGAUAGGAGCUCCUGCUGCAUGGUGGGGGUUGGAAAGUUUCGGCGGUUGGGGAUGGACUCGCGGCUUAUCAGCUUGUUGGUGGGGUAGUGGCUUACCAAGGCUUUGACGGGUAGCCGGCCUGAGAGGGUGACCGGCAACAUGGGGAAGGAGAUACGACCGAGACCCCGAGGGGGGGAAGCGGGGGGAAAUAUGGCAAAAGGGGGGGAAGCGGGAGGCAGAACGCCGGGGUGGGGGAGGAGGCCUUUGGGUUGUUAAACGGCUUUCGCCGGUGACGAAGGGGGAGGGAGGUAAAGGGGAAAAGAGGCCCCGGCAAACUAGGUG